AUGGAAGAGUCAGAGACGUCUUUGGUAAAAUGUAAAGGAUAUUCUCUUCAAUAUGAUACCAUUGAUGUUGACUUUUUAGAAAAUUUAGAUGAGUUUGAAAUUAGAGAUGAUGAUGUCUUCAUAGUCACAUACCCCGAAUCUGGAGCUAUCUGGUGUCAGCAGAUAUUAAGCUUGAUUUAUUUUGAAGAACAUUGGAAGAGAACUGAACAUCUGAAAACACUGUAUCAAGCUCCCUUUCUUGAGUACAGCGGCAAAAACAUGAAUUUUUGUGAAAGACCAUCUCCUCAUCUCUUUGCAACCCACCUCCCAUACUAUUUGGUUCCAAGAGGGAUAAAGAACGAAAAAGUCAAAAUGAUAUAUCUAUACAGAAACCCGAAGGAUGCUAUGUGCUCAUAUUUUCGUUUUUCAAAGAUGAUGACAAUGUGUAAGCCUACAGCUACCACUGAGGAUUUUAUGAAACAAUUUUUAGAAGGAAAAGUGGUAGGAAGCCUUUGAUUUGGCCAUAUCAAAUGUUGGUAUGAGCACAAAAGCCACUUCAACAUUCAGUUCAUAAUGUAUGAGGAGAUGAAGAAGGAUCUCAGAGGUUCUGUAUUAAAACUCUGCAAGUUUCUGGGGAAAUAACUGAGUGAGGAGGCCAUGGAUGCCACAUGGAGGCCACAUUUGAGAACAUGAAGGAUGACCCACUAGCAAAUUAUGCAAACCUACUAAACAUUAGAAUUAGGAGAAAAAGUAAAGAAGGGCAUUUCCUUCACAAAAACACCAUUGGAGACUGAAAAAUUUACAUGACUUUUGAGCAGAAUGAAAGGUUUGACAAGAUUUUCUGAAGGCAGAUGAAAGAUUUUCCACUGAUGUGGAAUAUGGGAUACAAAUGAAAUUCAUCUGUGAUACAAAUGAAGUAUAGAAUUCUAAGCUGAGC
This 916-nucleotide long non-coding RNA is filed under the name Homo sapiens (human). Its description in RNAcentral is "non-protein coding lnc-SPTSSA-2:1". Lineage: Eukaryota; Metazoa; Chordata; Mammalia; Primates; Hominidae. The record is from RNAcentral.